This 506-nucleotide ribosomal RNA is filed under the name uncultured bacterium. RNAcentral describes it as "partial 16S ribosomal RNA". It matches the Rfam family "Bacterial small subunit ribosomal RNA", at positions 28 to 523 of the family's 1533-position model. The record is from RNAcentral.
GAUGAACGCUAGCUACAGGCUUAACACAUGCAAGUCGAGGGGCAGCAUGGUCUUAGCUUGCUAAGGCCGAUGGCGACCGGCGCACGGGUGAGUAACACGUAUCCAACCUGCCGUCUACUCUUGGACAGCCUUCUGAACGGAAGAUUAAUACAAGAUGGCAUCAUGAGUCCGCAUGUUCACAUGAUUAAAGGUAUUCCGGUAGACGAUGGGGAUGCGUUCCAUUAGAUAGUAGGCGGGGUAACGGCCCACCUAGUCUUCGAUGGAUAGGGGUUCUGAGAGGAAGGUCCCCCACAUUGGAACUGAGACACGGUCCAAACUCCUACGGGAGGCAGCAGUGAGGAACAUUGGUCAAUGGGCGAGAGCCUGAACCAGCCAAGUAGCGUGAAGGAUGACUGCCAUAUGGGUUGUAAACUUCUUUUAUAAAGGAAUAAAGUCGGGUAUGCAUACCCGUUUGCAUGUACUUUAUGAAUAAGGAUCGGCUAACUCCGUGCCAGCCGCCGCCGUGA